GGGGGUGUACCGGUUUCGACGGAGUGCGUGAGCUAUCACCUGCCAUUCGAGGUUGAUCGAACGGCCUCGUAAAAAUUCGAUCAAAAAACAACUGCUAACGAAAACUUAGCACUCGCUGCCUAAUUAGCUGCGACGGUUCCCGGUAAAUUCCGCCAGUAAGAUACCGACGAACUGCCGAUUAAACUGGCUGGAUGUUCCGGGAGGCCACUGGCCCGGAACGUCGAGAAACACCAGAGGGAUCGGGUGAGUAGUAUCUGGUCCGCGAGUUGCGAAAGCCUUAAAUUUAAAGAUCGCGGAACAUAAUGGUAGACGGUGCUUGUGAUCCUCUUCGGACAGGGGUUCGAUUCCCCUCACCUCCAUGU
RNAcentral lists this transfer-messenger RNA (362 nucleotides) under Candidatus Rifleibacteriota bacterium. It matches the Rfam family "transfer-messenger RNA". From Rfam's summary of the family: Bacterial tmRNA, also known as 10Sa RNA or SsrA, is named for its dual tRNA and mRNA-like properties. Its role is to liberate the mRNA from a stalled ribosome. The record is from RNAcentral. RNAcentral also lists the same sequence under 1 other name. Lineage: Bacteria; Candidatus Rifleibacteriota.